Molecule: long non-coding RNA, 2437 nt
Organism: Dromiciops gliroides (monito del monte)
Lineage: Eukaryota; Metazoa; Chordata; Mammalia; Microbiotheria; Microbiotheriidae
Exons: 8
Source: RefSeq, a predicted model, not a curated record
CCGCCCGCCCGCCCGCGAUCUUCGUCUUCCUCGGCUGACAGUUGCUGUUCCAAGUGACCCUGAUUCACCAUGUGUUGGGAUGGUGAUGAUACAUCACAAAACUUCAACUGAAGUUUGCAGCUGGUUAAAAUAAGUAAGUUUAUAUGCUGCUUUUUCGCAAGCUGGGAGAAAUAUUUGAUAGAGAUCAACGGAAGCUGAUAAUCUCCCUCCACAAAUAGCAAGUGACAGUACCAACAUGGAGCAAGCACCACAUGUCUGCAGGUUUUGACCUUUCUAUAGAGGAGAACUGAUUCUGGAGAACAACUUAACUUCUGUGAUUGAAAACCCCUGUAUUUUACAUGAAAAGAAAUGGGAGAUUAAGGUUAUAACAAGUUAAUAUAGGCCGUACUGGUAUUAUGUGAUAACAACUUGUUGCCUCAAUUGAACAAGCAUUCUUGUCCCUGAAGGAUGGACAAAUGGGCUGGAGAAUGAUUGUUAAAAGGAGGUUGUAUGACUGGUUAUUCAAAGAAAGAGAAGGACUUUGCUGUUCUGAAUACAUGCCACCACUAUGCAUGGGUGGGAAAGACUGUUGGUAGGACUUUUUUAUCCAGGGCUACAAGUGAGACUUCACAAUAUUUCUGAAGUAACUCUUAAGAGAGCCUGGUUCCUCUUUGGCUCCCUGAAAAGGAUUCCUGGAUGCUGAAUCUGUGAUAUUGCAAGGAAACAUUUCAGAGAAUUACGAGAAUUCUUGUUGGCAUUGCCACCAUCCCAAGCUUUAAGUCUCAAUACCUGCUUGAUCUUCCCUGCCUUUGCUGAUCUCCUGGACUUUGCCUGCCUACACGGACCCAUGGCACCUGCUUGUUCCUUCCUGCCUUUGCUGAUCUCCUGGAUUCUGGACUUUUGUUUUUCUACUGGAACUGAUUUGCUCUUCCCUAUAUUAAUUGACCCUACUCUGUCCUUGACCCCUUGCCUGCUUAUGCUUUUGUUAUGUGGAUUAACUAAACACCCUUCCCUGCCAUCUCCUACCUACCGUAUCCCAUGGCAUCUAUGCCCCUGCAUGAUAGUGGAAAUUGAUCGGCUUUUUAAAAAAAAUAAAUAUAAUAAGAAAAAUGCAUAGCAUUGUAGAAUUCAUUUUCUUUUAAAGCUUAAAUUCAUUAUUUUUAAAUCUCCCUAAAAUUUUCUAGACCUCCUAAUGUGACUUUUAGCUGCCCUUUCCUCCCCAUUUUGUAGACAAAUGUGUAGCAUAAGAUAUGUUUUGAGCAGGAUUCUAUAAUAUUCAGGAAGUCGUGAUGCUUUCUGGAGGAUCAGAGUUCAUGUCUUAGGAUUCCUUUCUAUAUCCUACAAUGCAGAAUGUUAAUACAUUAGGAGAUUUUCAAUAAAUACCAUGUUGGUCUGAAUAUAAGUUGUACUUUCAACAAAAUCAUACAAAACCCAAAUAUGGUUUGUAUCUUAGUGAGAAAAUAUUAUUAGUAAGAAAUCUAGACUGGCUCUAUAAUUUCAUUGUAUUGGGAGCUCCCUAAGAAGGGAACUCACUCUAUCAAAUGCAGGUUGGCCUCUGCAACUAGAGGACUGAGAGAUUAAAUGUGUGACACUUAUUUCCCAGAGUUCCACAGCCAAUAUAUAUGAGGGACAAGACUUGAAUUUGGGUCUUCUUGAUUUCAAGGACAGCUAGCUCACUAUCCACUAUACCAAACUGUUGUUAGUAAGAGAAUUCAGUAAAAGUGCCAAAGGUGGAAAGGGGCAGGGGAAACAUGACCAAAGUAAAUAAAUAAUUGUAUUUGAAUGGAAAGAAAUAUUUUUAAAAAGAAAAGAAAACCUUUCAUAAUAAUUAUUUUAAUUCAAUAAUUUUGUGUAGUUUUUCAGUUUUUGCCAAUUCUUUUUAAAAAUCUCAUUUUAGGAAUGCAGUCUUUGAGUACAGCCUAUAUUCAGAUAAAUAUGAUACAAGUUCAGUAGAAUUGAAAUAGGGAAAUGUUCAAGGAGAUAUAAGGAUGGGGUGAUGAGUUGUAUUCUAAUCUCAUCUUUAAAUCUUGCCGGGAACUGCCUUUGGAAUUAAGCAGACAGAGCCAAAUCUGAAUGAAAAUCCUUUUUGUUCCAAACCUUUUACUAUUCAAGCCACAUUUCCUAUUAUGCCUUUAAUACCAUCAUGCCCUUUGAUGAAAAUGUAAUGUGAAAUGUUUCUGUACGACAAUUAUGAAGAAUUCUUAUUUAUUCAUGUUCUUUGAUUUCCAUAUUUAUCACAUAAUUUGUUUUCAUAAAAUGUUUGUCCUUUUAUUAUUGUACUUUCUUUGAGGCAAAGGACUGUGUUUUAGUUAAUCUUUGUAUCCCUGAUGCUUGGCACAGUGCCUUAAAUUACAGUAAGUGUUUAAUAAAUGUUUAAUAUGUAUUUAUUCUAAUGUUAUAGUUUGUUUUUAAAUUAAGGUUAAUUUCUUUAUUAAAAUGAAGCUUUAGAAUUAACUGU